This 498-nucleotide ribosomal RNA is filed under the name uncultured bacterium. RNAcentral's name for it is "partial 16S ribosomal RNA". It matches the Rfam family "Bacterial small subunit ribosomal RNA", at positions 30 to 523 of the family's 1533-position model. The record is from RNAcentral.
AUUGAACGCUGGCGGCAUGCCUUACACAUGCAAGUCGAACGGUAACAGGUCUUCGGAUGCUGACGAGUGGCGAACGGGUGAGUAAUACAUCGGAACGUGCCCGAUCGUGGGGGAUAACGGAGCGAAAGCUUUGCUAUUACCGCAUACGAUCUACGGAUGAAAGCAGGGGACCGCAAGGCCUUGCGCGGACGGAGCGGCCGAUGGCAGAUUAGGUAGUUGGGGGGAUAAAAGCUUACCAAGCCGACGAUCUGUAGCUGGUCUGAGAGGACGACCAGCCACACUGGGACUGAGACACGGCCCAGACUCCUACGGGAGGCAGCAGUGGGGAAUUUUGGACAAUGGGCGAAAGCCUGAUCCAGCCAUGCCGCGUGCAGGAUGAAGGCCUUCGGGUUGUAAACUGCUUUUGUACGGAGCGAAAAGGCUCUCUCUAAUACAGGGGGCUCAUGACGGUACCGUAAGAAUAAGCCCCGGCUAACUUCGUGCCAGCCGCCGCAGUAA